Molecule: ribosomal RNA, 470 nt
Filed under: uncultured Syntrophus sp.
Lineage: Bacteria; Pseudomonadati; Thermodesulfobacteriota; Syntrophia; Syntrophales; Syntrophaceae
Description: bacterial SSU rRNA
Rfam family: Bacterial small subunit ribosomal RNA
Source: RNAcentral
UUGACGGGGCCGCACAAGCGGUGGAGCAUGUGGUUAAUUCGAUGCAACGCGAAGAACCUUACCUGGGCUUGACAUCCCGGGAAUCCCCUGGAAACAGGGGAGUGCCCUUCGGGAACCCGGUGACAGGUGCUGCAUGGCUGUCGUCAGCUCGUGUCGUGAGAUGUUGGGUUAAGUCCCGCAACGAGCGCAACCCUUGUCUUUAAUUGCCAUCAUUUAGUUGGGCACUUUAAAGAGACUGCCGGUGUUAAGCCGGAGGAAGGUGGGGAUGACGUCAAGUCCUCAUGGCCUUUAUGCCCAGGGCUACACACGUGCUACAAUGGGUGGUACAAAGAGCAGCUAACUCGCGAGAGUAUGCAAAUCUCAAAAAGCCAUCCUCAGUUCGGAUUGGAGUCUGCAACUCGACUCCAUGAAGUUGGAAUCGCUAGUAAUCGCGGAUCAGCAUGCCGCGGUCGAAUACGUUCCCGGGCCUU